Molecule: ribosomal RNA, 554 nt
Filed under: Leptodontidium sp. ca_besc_196a
Lineage: Eukaryota; Fungi; Ascomycota; Leotiomycetes; Helotiales; Leptodontidiaceae
Description: eukaryotic LSU rRNA
Rfam family: 5.8S ribosomal RNA (bases 202-355)
Source: RNAcentral
CGCUCCCGGGGCUACCCUACUCCCGUAGGGUUUAGAGUCGUCGGGCCUCUCGGAGAAGCUCGGUCCUGAACUCCACCCUUGAAUAAACUACCUUUGUUGCUUUGGCGGGCCGCCUCGUGCCAGCGGCUUCGGCUGUUGAGUGCCCGCCAGAGGACCCCAACUCUUGUUUUUAGUGAUGUCUGAGUACUAUAUAAUAGUUAAAACUUUCAACAACGGAUCUCUUGGUUCUGGCAUCGAUGAAGAACGCAGCGAAAUGCGAUAAGUAAUGUGAAUUGCAGAAUUCAGUGAAUCAUCGAAUCUUUGAACGCACAUUGCGCCCUCUGGUAUUCCGGGGGGCAUGCCUGUUCGAGCGUCAUUAUAACCACUCAAGCUCUCGCUUGGUAUUGGGGUUCGCGGUUUCGCGGCCCCUAAAAUCAGUGGCGGUGCCUGUCGGCUCUACGCGUAGUAAUACUCCUCGCGAUUGAGUCCGGUAGGUCUACUUGCCAGCAACCCCUAAUUUUUUUAAGGUUGACCUCGGAUCAGGUAGGGAUACCCGCUGAACUUAAGCAUAUCAA